CGUGUAGGCUGCUCGGAAAGUCGGAUGUGAAAGCCCUGGGCUCAACCUAGGAAGUGCAUUCGAAACUUCCGAGCUGGAGUGCUGGAGAGGAAGGCGGAAUUCUCGGUGUAGAGGUGAAAUUCGUAGAUAUCGAGAGGAACAUCGGUGGCGAAGGCGGCCUUCUGGACAGCAACUGACGCUGAGACGCGAAAGCGUGGGGAGCAAACA
RNAcentral lists this ribosomal RNA (207 nucleotides) under uncultured delta proteobacterium. RNAcentral describes it as "partial 16S ribosomal RNA". It matches the Rfam family "Bacterial small subunit ribosomal RNA", at positions 568 to 774 of the family's 1533-position model. The record is from RNAcentral. Lineage: Bacteria; Deltaproteobacteria.